RNAcentral lists this ribosomal RNA (254 nucleotides) under uncultured bacterium. RNAcentral's name for it is "partial 16S ribosomal RNA". It matches the Rfam family "Bacterial small subunit ribosomal RNA", at positions 524 to 776 of the family's 1533-position model. The record is from RNAcentral.
UACAGAGGGCGCGAGCGUUGUCCGGAAUCACUGGGCGUAAAGGGCGCGUAGGUGGCCACCAUAAGGCCGCGGUGAAAGUUCGGGGCUCAACCCUGAAUCGGCCGCGGCGACUGUGGGGCUUGGGCACCGUAGAGGCAGAUGGAAUUCCGGGUGUAGCGGUGGAAUGCGUAGAGAUCAGGAGGAACACCGAUGGCGAAGGCAGAUCUCUGGGCCGUAACUGACGCUGAGGAGCGAAAGCAUGGGGAGCGAACAGG